Molecule: long non-coding RNA, 512 nt
Organism: Cornus florida
Lineage: Eukaryota; Viridiplantae; Streptophyta; Magnoliopsida; Cornales; Cornaceae
Exons: 2
Source: RefSeq, a predicted model, not a curated record
CAUACCUACCAAUUGUAAGAGACUAUCAAAGCCAUUAGUGUCUUAACAUUAUCCAUCUAUCUAUUUUGCCUCUGCGUGUGUGUAUAAAUAUAUAUAGUACUACUUAUAAUAUAGCAAAGAGCUCUGAACUGUCACACAAAUAAUUUGGCGGAGAGAGAAAGAUGAGCAACAAGGAAGCAGUCGCAAUGACAGAGUCAUAUCCGAUGGAAGGUGGAGAUGGCACUUACAGCUACACCAAGAACUCCACCUAUCAGGUGUUCGUGAGUUCCAGUCUUAGAGCUAGAUCGUGCUGAGCAGAUACAAUCAUUCACUCCACCGAUGCUGUCUGAUUUUGUUUCAUGUGUUUAGGCUUUGGUUUUAUUUCCAGUCAUUUGAGUUCAGUGGGAUAUUUUUGGGGUCCACUAGAUAGAUUCCCGAGUUGCAUAAUUUGGAGAACGAUUUGUAUUCGUGGAGGAUCAGUUGUAACAGAAUAGUUUUAUUUAUCAAUGGAAUUAUUUAUUCUGAGGUUUCAA